Molecule: ribosomal RNA, 614 nt
Filed under: uncultured bacterium
Lineage: Bacteria
Description: bacterial SSU rRNA
Rfam family: Bacterial small subunit ribosomal RNA (bases 1-517)
Source: RNAcentral
CCUACGGGAGGCAGCAGUCGGGAAUUUUGCGCAAUGGGGGAAACCCUGACGCAGCAAUACCGCGUGUGGGAUGAAGGCCUUCGGGUCGUAAACCACUUUUCUCGGGGACGAUAAUGACGGUACCCGAGGAAUAAGCCACGGCUAACUACGUGCCAGCAGCCGCGGUAAUACGUAGGUGGCAAGCGUUGUCCGGAUUUACUGGGCGUAAAGCGCGCGCAGGCGGUGAAUGAAGUCGAAAGUGAAAGCCCCGGGCUCAACUCGGGAACAGCUUUCGAAACCAGUUCACUUGAAGGUGGAAGAGGGAAGUGGAAUUCCGAGUGUAGCGGUGGAAUGCGCAGAUAUUCGGAGGAACACCAGAGGCGAAGGCGACUUCCUGGUCCAAUCUUGACGCUGAGGCGCGAAAGCUAGGGGAGCAAACAGGAUUAGAUAUCCUGGUAGUCCUAGCUGUAAACGAUGGAUACUAGGUGUUGGAGGUUUUAACCCCUCCGGUGCCGCAGCUACGACAUAAGUAUCCGUCCGUCGGGUAGGUACGGUCCGGCCGACGGACGUAAACCUACAAUAGAAGUUAGUACGGCGUGAGACGUGCCGAACGGACGACGACGAGGGGAGUUAGG